This 296-nucleotide ribosomal RNA is filed under the name uncultured bacterium. Its description in RNAcentral is "partial 16S ribosomal RNA". It matches the Rfam family "Bacterial small subunit ribosomal RNA", at positions 28 to 325 of the family's 1533-position model. The record is from RNAcentral.
GACGAACGCUGGCGGCGUGCUUAACACAUGCAAGUCGAGCGGUAAGGCCCUUUCGGGGGUACACGAGCGGCGAACGGGUGAGUAACACGUGGGUGACCUGCCCUCAGCUCUGGGAUAAGCCUGGGAAACCGGGUCUAAUACCGGAUAUGACUCCAUGACGCAUGUUGUGGGGUGGAAAGCCUUGUGCGGCUGAGGAUGGGCCCGCGGCCUAUCAGCUUGUUGGUGGGGUGAUGGCCUACCAAGGCGACGACGGGUAGCCGGCCUGAGAGGGCGACCGGCCACACUGGGACUGAGAC